UGGUGGAGUGAUUUGUCUGGUUAAUUCCGUUAACGAACGAGACCUCCGCGUGCUAAAUAGUUCUGCUUACAAUUUUUGUUAGGUAAGGACUUCUUAGAGGGACUUUUGGUCGACUAGCCAAAGGAAGUUGGAGGCAAUAACA
RNAcentral lists this ribosomal RNA (142 nucleotides) under uncultured eukaryote. RNAcentral's name for it is "partial 18S ribosomal RNA". It matches the Rfam family "Eukaryotic small subunit ribosomal RNA", at positions 1299 to 1458 of the family's 1831-position model. The record is from RNAcentral.